ACUCGGAUCCGCGCUGCAGAGUUUGAUCCUGGCUCAGAUUCGCUGGCGGCAUGCCUUACACAUGCAAGUCGAACGGUAACGGGCCUUCGGGCGCCGACGAGUGGCGAACGGGUGAGUAAUGCAUCGGAACGUGCCCAGUAGUGGAUAGCCCGGCGAAAGCCGGAUUAAUACCGCAUGAGACCUGAGGGUGAAAGCGGCGGGAUCGCAAGACUCUCGCGCUACUGGAGCGGCCGAUGUCAGAUUAGCUAGUUGGUGGGGUAAAGGCCUACCAAGGCAACGAUCUGUAGUUGGUCUGAGAGGACGACCAGCCACACUGGGACUGAGACACGGCCCAGACUCCUACGGGAGGCAGCAGUGGGGAAUUUUGGACAAUGGGCGCAAGCCUGAUCCAGCAAUGCCGCGUGCAGGAAGAAGGCCUUCGGGUUGUAAACUGCUUUUGUCAGCUCCGUCUUCUGGGUUAAUACCUCGGGAGGAUGACGGUACCUGAAGAAUAAGCACCGGCUAACUACGUGCCAGCAGCCGCGGUAAUACGUAGGGUGCGAGCGUUAAUCGGAAUUACUGGGCGUAAAGCGUGCGCAGGCGGCUUCAUGCAAGACAGAUGUGAAAUCCUGCUCAACCUGGGAACUGCAUUUGUGACUGCAAGGCUAGAGUACGGCAGAGGGGGAUGGAAUUCCGCGUGUAGCAGUGAAAUGCGUAGAUACUGCGGAGCUCCACCGAUGGCGAAGGCAAUCCCCUGGGCCUGUACUGACGCUCAUGCACGAAAGCGUGGGGAGCAAACAGGAUUAGAUACCCUCCAGUCCACGCCCUAAACGAUGUCAACUGGUUGUUGGACGGCUUGCUGUUCAGUGUGGAAGCUAACGCGUGAAGUUGACCGCCUGGGGAGUACGGCCGCAAGGCAACUCAACAGGAAUUGACGGGGACCCGCACAAGCGGUGGAUGAUGUGGGGUCACGAUGCCACGCGAUAACCUUACCUACCCCUUGACAUGUCAAGCGCUUGCAGAGAACUGAGAGUGCGCGAACGAGAACUUGAACACAGGUGCUGCAUGGCCGUCGUCAGCUCGUGUCGUGAGAUGUUGGGUUAAGUCCCGCAACGAGCGCAACCCUUGUCAUUAGUUGCUACGAAAGGGCACUCUAAUGAGACUGCCGGUGACAAACCGGAGGAAGGUGGGGAUGACGUCAGGUCCUCAUAUGUUAUGGGUAGGGCUACACACGUCAUACAAUGGCCGGUACAGAGGGUUGCCGUAGGCGAGGGGGAGCCAAUCCCAGAAAACCGGUCGUAGUCCGGAUCGCAGUCUGCAACUCGACUGCGUGAAGUCGGAAACGUAGUAAUCGCGGAUCAGCUUGCCGCGGUGAAUACGUUCCCGGGUCUUGUACACACCGCCCGUCACACCAUGGGAGCGGGUUCUGCCAGAAGUAGAUUAGCCUAACGCGCAAGGAGGCGCGAUUAACCACGGCAGGGUUCGUGACUGGCGGUGAAGUCGUAAGCAAUGGUAAUCCGA
Molecule: ribosomal RNA, 1500 nt
Filed under: uncultured Aquabacterium sp.
Lineage: Bacteria; Pseudomonadati; Pseudomonadota; Betaproteobacteria; Burkholderiales; Sphaerotilaceae
Description: bacterial SSU rRNA
Rfam family: Bacterial small subunit ribosomal RNA
Source: RNAcentral